RNAcentral lists this ribosomal RNA (469 nucleotides) under uncultured bacterium. Its description in RNAcentral is "partial 16S ribosomal RNA". It matches the Rfam family "Bacterial small subunit ribosomal RNA", at positions 28 to 507 of the family's 1533-position model. The record is from RNAcentral.
GAUGAACGCUGGCGGCGUGCUUAACACAUGCGAGUCGAACGGUGAACCCGGAGCUUGCUCUGUGGGAUCAGUGGCGAACGGGUGAGUAACACGUGAGCAACCUGCCCCUGACUCUGGGAUAAGCGCUGGAAACGGCGUCUAAUACUGGAUAUGUGACGUGACCGCAUGGUCUGCGUUUGGAAAGAUUUUUCGGUUGGGGAUGGGCUCGCGGCCUAUCAGCUUGUUGGUGAGGUAAUGGCUCACCAAGGCGUCGACGGGUAGCCGGCCUGAGAGGGUGACCGGCCACACUGGGACUGAGACACGGCCCAGACUCCUACGGGAGGCAGCAGUGGGGAAUAUUGCACAAUGGGCGCAAGCCUGAUGCAGCAACGCCGCGUGAGGGAUGACGGCCUUCGGGUUGUAAACCUCUUUUAGCAGGGAAGAAGCGAAAGUGACGGUACCUGCAGAAAAAGCGCCGGCUAACUACGUG